This 3975-nucleotide long non-coding RNA is filed under the name Triticum aestivum (bread wheat). RNAcentral describes it as "long non-coding RNA (TAES_LNC002434)". Lineage: Eukaryota; Viridiplantae; Streptophyta; Magnoliopsida; Poales; Poaceae. The record is from RNAcentral.
GAAGUCCUCCUUCUCCCCCUUGUACAAGCCGGACAGGAUCUUCACCAGAUCAUCGGCCGAGCCAGGUCCCUUGCGGCCGUGACGGGUGGCGUCGUCGUCUCCGUUGAAGUACCACAUGGGGUGGCCCCUAUAUUGGAGCGGCUGCACCCCACGCAUAAUGCAUGUGGCCAUGACUCCGACCAUGGUUAAUCCGGAAUGGGCUAGCAGCCGUAUCCGGCCCAUCAAGUAAUGGACGCUACUAUCAUCUUCUCGUCGAGGGCUCCGUGGGUGCCAACUUAGGUGUUUCUUCAGGGGAGCGUUGCUGAACUCCGGAAGGCCGAUCCGGACUGGAUCCGGCAGCGGAGCGUCCUCCAUAUAAAACCACUCCGAAGGCCAAUCUUCGGACGUCUUCUUCGCGGUCCCGGACAGGUAUCCGGUCCCGGCGAUGCGCCAUAUUUCGGCUCCGCCCACUUGAUAUAUCGACCCCUCGUGAGAGCGGGGUACGAGGCAAAACAGCCUCUUCCACAGCGCAAAAUGGGGCUCAAUGCCCAAGAACAGCUCACACAGAGCUACGAAGCCCGCGAUGUGCAAAAUGGAGGCAGGUGUAAGGUGAUGAAGCUGGAGUCCGUAGAACUCCAGGAGCCCCCGGAGAAACGGAUGUAUAGGAAAUCCGAGUCCCCUUAUUAAGUAGAAGACGAAGCACACCCGCUCUCCUUUGGAGGGAUUGGGGGUGCUCUCCGCCUGCUUCCCACCUUUGUAGGUGGCCAGUCCGGCUCGAACCAGAACCAUGAAGGCCGGGGGAAGAUAUCCCUCUGCUUGGAGCGUCACUAACUCGCUGUGCGGGACUGAGCAUCUCCUCCAAUCUCCUGGCUUAGGGCUGGGAGCGCGAGAAGAGUUGCCGCGUCGACUGUCCAUGUUGGAAUGGGUUUGGUGUCAGAUGCGCCUCGAUGAGUGCUUGCGGAAGGAGGAUGAUGUGAUUUGGGUCUGGAUCCUCGCCUCUCUUAUAGGCAGCUUAUUUGCGCAGCUAGGGGGUAAAACAUAAAAAUACCCUGGCUUUUCGCAUUCGUGUGACGCGUGGAAGAAGACUAUUAUUGGACGCGGAAGCCAAGGAGCGCAACAUUUAUGAAGCAACCGGACACUAUCCGGCAAACACAUGGAGCAUGAAGAAGAACCCGCCUUGCAAACGUCGAAGACAACAUAUGCACCGGAUUCGUCGUUAUUGAAGCCUAGUUCGGGGGCUACUGAGGGAGUCCCGGACUAGGGGGUGUCCGGAUAGCCGAACUACCAUCAUCGGACGGACUCCAAGACUAUGAAGAUACAAGAUUGAAGACUUCGUCCCGUGUCCGGAUGGGACUUUCCUUGGCGUGGAAGGCAAGCUUGGCGAUACGGAUAUGUAGAUAUCCUACCUUUGUAACCGACCCUGUGUAACCCUAGCCCUCUCCGGUGUCUAUAUAAACCGGAUGGCCUUAGUCCAUAGGACGAACAACAAUCAUACCAUAGGCUAGCUUCUAGGGUUUAGCCUCCUUGAUCUUGUGGUAGAUCUACUCUUGUAACCCACAUCAUCAAUAUUAAUCAAGCAGGACGUAGGGUUUUACCUCCAUCAAGAGGGCCCGAACCUGGGUAAAAACAUCGUGUCCCUCGUCUCCUGUUACCAUCCGCCUAGACGCACAGUUCGGGACCCCCUACCUGAGAUCCGCCGGUUUUGACACCGACACCAAGUUUGUUGGAAAGCUAAUGACAUGGGCUAACACAAUAUUGAUAGAAAUAUCAAGAAUAAGCAAAUGAGAAAAGUCCCAUAAGAAAAUGGUGAGAACCCUUCAUCGGAUAAGACCGGUAAAACCCCCAACACCGAAAACAUCAUAGAAGACGCAUACAAACUCCGUUUUCGAUGAACUCAAGCUUGUCAUCAAGAUGACCAUAAGCUCUAAGACUCACAAAGAUAACCAAACAAGAACCAAGAAACAUGAUGCAAGGAUGCAAUGGUUUGAGCUCUCUACUAACGAUACAAUCAAGCUACCAACUUGAGAGCCCCCCUUGAUAGUACGGCAAACGAUCCUAUAACUCGGUCUCCCAACUACCACCACGAGACCGGUAAAAUAGAAAACCUAUCAAGGGCAAACCUUUGCCUUGCACAUGGUCCAAUUGAGCUAGAUGAUGACGAUCUUGUCCUUCUCAAGAUGGACCACCUUUCUUGAUUGCAUUGGGUCGAUGGAGACUAGAUGAUUGCUCCCCCAUACUCCACUAUGGGUGAGCCACUCUUCGGCACAUCUUCACAAGUCCAUUGACACCACAAUGGAUGGCAAGCUUCAAGCACUUGAUCUCUUCGUGAUGCUCCACUUGAACUUGCACACAGCAAUCUUGAUGACGAUCACCACUUGAUGUCAUCCUUUCCAUGGGUUGUAUGAUAUCUUCUUCUUGACGCAAGCCCAUGGACACGUACCUAACCACACAUAGACUCUCACAUAGAACAUGGGUUAGUACACAAAGUGUAAUGGACAAUGCUUACCAUACCAUGGGAUCACUUGAUCCCUCUCGGUACAUCCUUUACGCUUUGUGAGUUGAUCAACUUGAUUCACUCUUGACUUAGUCUUGAUCAACCUUGAAUCUUUCCAACUCUCUUCGUUUGGAUGAUGUCUUGAAGGUAAACAUGAAUGAUCACACAAUCUUCUUCUUCAAGACAUGCUUGCAAUAAGCUCAACACUCACAUGACCAAUCUUUGGAUAAUUCCUUAAUAGCACCUUGGUCAACCCAUAAACUCCUUGAAACCAACACAUGGACUUCAAGAAAUGCCUAUGGAAAAAUCCUUCAAAUAUAACUCAAUGCAACCAUUAGUCCAUAGAGAAUGUCAUCAAUUACCAAAACCACACAUGGGGGCACCGCAUGUCCUUUCAGCCUCUUACAAGCAAGUCAAGGGGAAGGCGAGGAAAGGGGAGGAGUUUAACCCGAGCCAGAUCCCCUACAAUCCAGAGUAGGUGAUGAUAUCUAGUGGCGGGAGGUCCCGUGGCUCCAUAGCCGUUGAUCCAGAGAUUGCUCCUGAGACCACGGUGAGUUUAAUUUGAAUGGACGUUACUUGCUAGUCUUAACAUUUGAGUGUCAUCAUGCUAACNNNNNNNNNNNNNNNNNNNNNNNNNNNNNNNNNNNNNNNNNNNNNNNNNNNNNNNNNNNNNNNNNNNNNNNNNNNNNNNNNAAAUAUUGGAAAUGAUCUUUGGUGCAGCGUUACUCCACACAAGCAUCACAUGAUCCUUCUCCAGCUACUGGCCUGAGCCAGCCCGCUCCCAGACCUCCAUGAUCAAGGUAAGUUUCUCUAGUUUUUUGCUUAACAAAUGCAUAAAUACCUAGACUUAGCUUUAUUUCAUCCAAUAUGCUUACCUUAAUGACCUAGAGUUAGCUUCUUUUCCUGCAAAAUGACUUAAUAAGCUUACUGAGCUCCAAAACCAGCCAUUUUACCUAAGUUAGCUCUAAAACAAUUUAUACUUAGCUUUGUUUCCUCCAAAAUGACCUAAGUUAGUUAUAAUAUGCUUAGUUAACUAGGUUUGCUCAAUAAUGACAUGUACUUACCUUACUUAUGUAAAAAAACAGCAUAAUUAGCUUAGUUAGCUCAUAAACGAUCCAUUUUACCUACAUUGGCUCUAAAAUGAUGCAUUUUACCUAAGUUAGCUCAUAAACGAUCCAUUUCACCUAAGUUACCUCACAAACGAUGGCGUGCUUCUUCUUCUAGUCACCUUUUCCUAACUUUCUUAUUUGCCAUUUUGCAGAUUUCAUUCACUUCUCGGAAGCUAGCUUGCUAUGAUGGAGUGCUUGUUUUUUAUUUCAUUCUCUUAUAGUAUUCUUCUAGCUUGCUACGAUGGAACUUGCUAUCUUGAUUAAACUUUGCAUUGUAAUAUGUAUGUGCAACUUUGCUAUCUUGAUGGAACUUGCUAUGUAUGAGUGGAUGGAACUAUAUAUGUAUGUACGAUGAAACUUAUGUGCUGUUAAAUAGCUCUAUGAAAUAUAUCU